UUCUAUGGGGCGUAGGCCUCCCAAAAGGUAACGGAGGUGUGCAAAGGUUUCCUCUGGCCAGACGGACAUUGGUCCUCGAGUGCAAAGGCAGAAGGGAGCUUGACUGCAAGACUCACCCGUCGAGCAGAGACGAAAGUCGGCCUUAGUGAUCCGAUGGUGCCGAGUGGAAGGGCCGUCG
RNAcentral lists this ribosomal RNA (178 nucleotides) under Triticum aestivum (bread wheat). RNAcentral's name for it is "rRNA LSU_rRNA_eukarya". It matches the Rfam family "Bacterial large subunit ribosomal RNA", at positions 2270 to 2447 of the family's 2925-position model. The record is from RNAcentral. Lineage: Eukaryota; Viridiplantae; Streptophyta; Magnoliopsida; Poales; Poaceae.